Long non-coding RNA from Bos grunniens (domestic yak), 1576 nucleotides. The record is from Ensembl. Lineage: Eukaryota; Metazoa; Chordata; Mammalia; Artiodactyla; Bovidae.
UUCAGUCAUCAAAUAUGUAUUCAGCCUUCACUGAAUGUGAGGUACUGUGCUGGGGUCCCUAUUUAACAUUUAUUUGUGUGUAUGUGUGUAUAUAUAUAUAUAUUUUUUUUUUUUCAUUUCUACUGGAAGACUGACUCCCUGGAGGAAGAAGAGGAGGAGAAAGAAGAAAAACAGAGAGAGUGGGGAUGGUGAAUCCAGGAAUGUCAGGAGAAGAGGGAAGAAAAUCUGUUAUUUGCUGAGCCCCUACUGUGUGCCAGGCACUUAACACAAGAGCUACCAUUUUACUCCUCGUCACCACCCCAGGAGAAUUUAGUGUUCUCAGGCCUCAGUUUAGAGGAGAAGCAGCAGCCCAGAGCGGGUGAGUAGCUCGCUUAAGGGGACACAGCUGUGUGGAACAGGAUCGAGCAUUUGAACUGAGCACUGUCUGUGACCUCUGUGGACGUCUUCCCACCCAGGAGGCUGCCCUGACCCAGCAGGGAAAAAGGACAAGGUCAGAGGGGUGACAACUGAGAUGCUCCAAGCUGAGAGGCCUGCCUGCUGAGGGACAGGGAAACUGGACGCACGGCUGGGGUUGUGACCAGUGAGAAGUUCAGCCGUGAACGUGGCCUGUGGCUCGCCACAGUGAAAGGCUGGCUGUGGGGGCCACGUGGGCUGUGUGUGAGUGCUCUCCUUUGUGCCAGCGCACAGUCUAGGUACCCACAGCUGACCUGCUAUGUGGAGAGGAUCGCUCCGGUUUUACUGAUGAGAACACUAAGACCUGGAGAAUGGGGAGGGUGUUUAGUCCAGGACUAAACAGCUGGAGCCAGAGUCAGAACUCAGAUCUCUUCUGGAAGGCUCGUGGAAGGGUGGUGGGCUUGGGGGUUCACCCUUAGGAGCUUUCCAAGCUGCCAAGGCUUUCAGCAGAACGGAAGCCCCCCUUCUUGACCUGUCACUCAAGUCCCCAGCUUCUAAGAUGGGAAGGGGCUCCUCUGCUUCAGUCCCCUCUUGCAUGCAAAGGCGGCAAGGAAGUAGGGGUGGGUACACUGAGUUUGGGCACCUGAGCCCAAUGGACUAGCCCCAGUCCUGCUCCACCCUGAUGGGCUGUGUGACUUUCGGCAAAUCCCGCCCCUCCCCAUCUCUCUGGCCUCAGGCUCCUUAUCUGUAAAACAGGCACACAGCACUAUCUGCUUCCUGCCUCCCUGACUGCUCAUUUGUUCAACAAAGAUAUGCUGAUGCCCCCCACUUGUCAGGCUCCUUGCUAGGUGCUGAGGAUACAGCGGUGAACAGAAAAGCCCAUGGUAGCCACUCUCAGGAGGGUUUAGAGACAGCCGUGAAAUGAAAGGACCACACAAACCGACCUGCAUGUAAAAGGGGUCUGCGAUGAAGGAGCAGAGGCUGUGAGCGCCUUAGGCAGGAACGUCUGGUAGGAGUGAGGGAGGAGCUGAAGAAGGUCUCCCUGAGGGGGUGGCGACUGAGCAGGAGCUCACUAGGUAAAAAGUGGUGUUUCUGGCAAGGGGAACGGCAUGUGCAAAGGCCCUGAGGCUGGAAAGGGUUUAGCCGUUCUCGAGGGGUACAGAGGCAGCUGGAUUGCUAGCCG